Malus domestica (apple) is the source of this 908-nucleotide non-coding RNA. The record is from RefSeq and is a predicted model, not a curated record. Lineage: Eukaryota; Viridiplantae; Streptophyta; Magnoliopsida; Rosales; Rosaceae.
AUUAGGAAUGAGGAUAUCCAAGGUAAAAUAUGAGUAGCCGAAAUUGAAAGAAAGAUGAGAGAAAAUCGGUUACGGUGGUUUGGACUGUGCAAAGAAGGCCUAUUGACGCUCCGGUUAGAAGAUGCAGCUAUGGGAUAGAGGUCCAGGGCCGAAGAGGUAGAGGAAGACCUGGGAAAACUUUGGAAGAGACUGUAAGAAAAGACUUAGAGUACUUGAAUCUAACGGAGGACAUGACACAGAACUAACUGAGCGCAAUGGCGUUCUAGGAUUCAUAUAGCCGACCCCACUUAGUAGGAAAAGGCUUUGUUGUUGUUGUUGUUUGUUGUUGUUGUACUUAUGGGACCCUCUAAUUGUACUACAUGAAAUUAUGUAGAAGCCCUAUCAGACAUGCUAUACUGUCAGACGUUGUCUUACUCAUAUAUCCUCUUGUAGGAUUGUAAGUUCAACAAACUGAAGAGGAAACGCAGGAAGAACAAACCUAUAUCUUUAACCAGGAAAACUCUGGCGGUCAAAGCUCAAGGCCGCUGCCUGUGAAUCUGGGUAAAGAAAGAGAGGAAACCGCCAACCCUAUGGAAAGCAAUGAUACUGGGAAGGACACUGAAGCUGGUGAGGCUGGGAAGAAGAGCAUUCAAGCUGGUGACCUUGAAGCAUCAGAAGCUAUGAAAGAAUAAGGCUCCGAGGUUAUCCAUUUGUCUCUGCAGGGUGCGGAGUAUUCACCUUUCUGUUGAUUGUCGGAUUGCUCUUUUCUCCGGUUUCUUCGGAAUAAUGCAUUUCCAGUUUGGUUAAUUCCUGAAUUUACUUUGGUAUUUUAAUUUUAGUCUUGUAUGCAUUAUGGCAUGAGAGGCCAACGAUUCAUUAUAAAAACGAAUAGAAGGGACAGAUUGUUGUUUCAAUCUGAUUCGAUCCAA